Molecule: ribosomal RNA, 406 nt
Filed under: uncultured Prochlorococcus sp.
Lineage: Bacteria; Bacillati; Cyanobacteriota; Cyanophyceae; Synechococcales; Prochlorococcaceae
Description: partial 23S ribosomal RNA
Rfam family: Bacterial large subunit ribosomal RNA
Source: RNAcentral
CAGAAAGACCCUAUGAAGCUUUACUGUAACUUGAAAUUGAAAUUGGACUUUAUUUGCGCAGUAUAGGUGGGAGACGUUGAAAAUAUUCUUGCGGGAGUAUUAGAGUUAUCAGUGAGAUACCACUCUUAUAAUGUUAGAUUUCUAACUUUGUAUCAUAUAUCUGGUCAAAGAACAGUUUCAGGCGGGCAGUUUGACUGGGGCGGUCGCCUCCCAAAUGGUAACGGAGGCGCACAAAGGUUUCCUCUGAACGUGUAGAAAUCGUAUCUAGAGUGUAAAGGCAUAAGGAAGCUUGACUGUGAGACCUACAAGUCGAGCAGGGACGAAAGUCGGUCUUAGUGAUCUGACGGUGCUGAGUGGAAAGGCCGUCACUCAACGGAUAAAAGUUACUCUAGGGAUAACAGGCUGA